This 387-nucleotide ribosomal RNA is filed under the name Rhizophagus irregularis. Lineage: Eukaryota; Fungi; Glomeromycota; Glomeromycetes; Glomerales; Glomeraceae. The record is from RNAcentral.
CAGUCGUACUUGCGGAUAAUCAACCUUUAGAUGCGAUUUUGUGGAGCGUCAAGAGUUAAACGCCUUCAUGCCUACAUAUUCGUGCACUUUGGGUGUACUUGCCCGUGUGUAAGUUAACAUCAAUUUUGGUGGUCAUAAAAUGGCUGGAGGAAUGUAGCUUCGAUCUUGUAUUGAAGUGUUAUAGCCUUCGGUAGAUGUGGUGAUCGAGAUUGAGGAUUGGCAACGGAUACCCUUCGGGGCUACCUGUCUGGUCUCUGAUCGUUGCUCUGGUGCCGAAAGCUUGCUUACGGUUAUCAAAGUCGAUGGUCAAUAGGUUAGAACGGUUAAUUCGUUAAGGAUGUUGACGUAAUAGGUUUAAACGACCGUCUUAGAAACACGGACCAAGGA